GAGUAACACCGAGCAGUCAAAGGCAUUAAGUUCAGGAAGUGUGGCUGCAAUCACCGUAAUUGUAAUUGUCCUUGUAUUAAUAAUAUUUGGAGGAGCAGCGUUCUGGAAAAUUAGGCGUGGAUCGUAUGGAAGACUACGGGAAGACCCAGAUUAUGGCUCCUUGGGAAAUUAUAACAAUCCCUUGUAUGAUGACUCUUGAAGGAACUAUUUGAUUCAGAAGAAGAACAAAUAUGUGCUGUCUGUUUUACUGUUGUGCUGGGUCACACCAACAAAUACGCUUUACCUUUGAACUCUCAGGCCUGCUGAAUUGUAUGUCUGCUGUGCAUUGAACAAAAUAAGGAACAUACAUUGAGACUAAUCAUCAACCACUGCACUUCAUUAAACCCCUGCACUGUGCCCAUUCACCUACAGUAUGAUUAUACACUCUGUUAAGAUAAAAACUAACGGCCUGAUAUCAAGA
This is a long non-coding RNA of Nanorana parkeri, 460 nucleotides long. RefSeq lists it as uncharacterized. NCBI's taxonomy places the organism in Eukaryota, Metazoa, Chordata, Amphibia, Anura, Dicroglossidae. The transcript is spliced from 3 exons. The record is from RefSeq and is a predicted model, not a curated record.